GCCUCCGUAGCUCAGAGGAAGAGCAACUGACUUUUAAUCAGUGGGUCGAGAUUUCGAAAUUCUCCGGGGGUACCA
RNAcentral lists this transfer RNA (75 nucleotides) under Microbacterium phage Pumpernickel. RNAcentral's name for it is "tRNA-Lys". It matches the Rfam family "tRNA". From Rfam's summary of the family: Transfer RNA (tRNA) molecules are approximately 80 nucleotides in length. Their secondary structure includes four short double-helical elements and three loops (D, anti-codon, and T loops). Lineage: Duplodnaviria; Heunggongvirae; Uroviricota; Caudoviricetes. The record is from RNAcentral.